Molecule: ribosomal RNA, 568 nt
Filed under: Camacolaimus environmental sample
Lineage: Eukaryota; Metazoa; Nematoda; Chromadorea; Plectida; Leptolaimidae
Description: bacterial SSU rRNA
Rfam family: Eukaryotic small subunit ribosomal RNA
Source: RNAcentral
CGGUCAUAUGCUUGUCUCAAAGAUUAAGCCAUGCAAGUCUAAGUUCAAAUCAUUGUAUGAUGAAACCGCAGAAAGCUCAUUACAACAGCCAUUGUUCACUUGAUGUUUUCUAUCCUACUUGGAUAACUGUGGUAAUUCUAGAGCUAGGAGAUGCAACAAAACUCAGGUAGGCUCUCGGGCCGACGAGUGCAAUUAUUAGAACAAAACCAAUCGGGCCUCGGUCCGUUUCGUUUGGUGGAUCUGAAUAACAGAGCGGAUCGCACAGUCUUUGCACUGGCGACGCAUCUUUCAAGUGUCUGUCCUAUCAGCUGUCGAUGGUAUUCUAUACGAUUACCAUGGCUGUAACGGGUAACGGAGAAUAAGGGUUCGACUCCGGAGAGGGAGCCUGAGAAACGGCUACCACAUCCAAGGAAGGCAGCAGGCGCGCAAAUUACCCACUCUCGGCACGAGGAGGUAGUGACGAAAAAUAACGAGGCGGUUCUCUAAGAGGCCCGCUAUCGGAAUGGGUACAAUUUAAACCCCUUAACGAGGACCUAUGAGAGGGCAAGUCUGGUGCCAGCAGCCGCGG